CACGUAGGGGACGAGCGUUGUCCGGAUUCAUUGGGCGUAAAGCGCGCGUAGGCGGCUCGGAAAGUCGGUCGUGAAAUGCCGGGGCUCAACCCCGGGACUGCGUCCGAUACUCCCGAGCUGGAGGCAGGUAGGGGAGAUCGGAAUUCCUGGUGUAGCGGUGAAAUGCGCAGAUAUCAGGAGGAACACCGGUGGCGAAGGCGGAUCUCUGGGCCUUACCUGACGCUCAGGUGCGAAAGCUAGGGGAGCGAACAGG
This 253-nucleotide ribosomal RNA is filed under the name uncultured bacterium. RNAcentral's name for it is "partial 16S ribosomal RNA". It matches the Rfam family "Bacterial small subunit ribosomal RNA", at positions 524 to 776 of the family's 1533-position model. The record is from RNAcentral.